RNAcentral lists this ribosomal RNA (974 nucleotides) under Streptomyces azureus. RNAcentral describes it as "bacterial SSU rRNA". It matches the Rfam family "Bacterial small subunit ribosomal RNA", at positions 56 to 1013 of the family's 1533-position model. The record is from RNAcentral. Lineage: Bacteria; Bacillati; Actinomycetota; Actinomycetes; Kitasatosporales; Streptomycetaceae.
UGCAGUCGAACGAUGAAGCCGCUUCGGUGGUGGAUUAGUGGCGAACGGGUGAGUAACACGUGGGUAAUCUGCCCUGCACUCUGGGACAAGCCCGGGAAACUGGGUCUAAUACCGGAUAUGACCACUUCGGGCAUCCGAUGGUGGUGGAAAGCUCCGGCGGUGCAGGAUGAACCCGCGGCCUAUCAGCUUGUUGGUGGGGUAAUGGCCUACCAAGGCGACGACGGGUAGCCGGCCUGAGAGGGCGACCGGCCACACUGGGACUGAGACACGGCCCAGACUCCUACGGGAGGCAGCAGUGGGGAAUAUUGCACAAUGGGCGAAAGCCUGAUGCAGCGACGCCGCGUGAGGGAUGACGGCCUUCGGGUUGUAAACCUCUUUCAGUAGGGAAGAAGCCUUCGGGUGACGGUACCUGCAAAAGAAGCACCGGCUAACUACGUGCCAGCAGCCGCGGUAAUACGUAGGGUGCAAGCGUUGUCCGGAAUUAUUGGGCGUAAAGAGCUCGUAGGCGGUUUGUCGCGUCGAUUGUGAAAGCCCGGGGCUUAACCCCGGGUCUGCAGUCGAUACGGGCAGGCUAGAGUUCGGUAGGGGAGAUCGGAAUUCCUGGUGUAGCGGUGAAAUGCGCAGAUAUCAGGAGGAACACCGGUGGCGAAGGCGGAUCUCUGGGCCGAUACUGACGCUGAGGAGCGAAAGCGUGGGGAGCGAACAGGAUUAGAUACCCUUGGUAGUCCACGCCGUAAACGGUGGGCACUAAGGUGUGGGCAACAUUCCACCGUUGUCCGGCGCCGCAGCUAACGCAUUAAGUGGCCCCGCCUGGGGGAGUACGGGCCGCAAAGGCUAAAAACUCAAAAGGAAUUUGACGGGGGGCCCGCACAAAGCGGCCGGAGCAUGGUGGUUUAAUUCCGACGGCAACCGCGAAAGAACCUUUACCCAAGGGUUUGACAUACAACCGGGAAAAGCCCGUAAAAGAUACCGGG